GGAUGUGAGGGCGACCUGGCUGCGACAUCUGUCACCCCAUUGAUCGCCAGGGUUGAUUCGGCUGAUCUGGCUGGCUAGGCAGGUGUCCCCUUCCUCCCUCACCACUCCAUAUGCAUCCCUCCUGAAGCUGCGUGCUUGGGAAGAGGACAGCCUUCCUCAAUUAGAGAUGGGCGGUCUUUGGUCGAGGGCAUAUAUAGCUACGCUCCCCUGCUAGAACCUCCAAACAAGCUCUCAAGGUCCAAAGCUGUGUACUUAGUCAGAAAGGACGGCUUUCCCCAAACAGAGAUGGACCAGUCUUCGGUUGAGG
Molecule: non-coding RNA, 307 nt
Organism: Erinaceus europaeus (western European hedgehog)
Lineage: Eukaryota; Metazoa; Chordata; Mammalia; Eulipotyphla; Erinaceidae
Source: Rfam